UAACGCGUGAAGAACCUGCCUUUCAGUGGGGGACAACGAGUUGGAAACGACUGCUAAUACCGCAUAACAUACCGAGGGGGCAUCCCUUUGGUAUCAAAGCUUAAUGUGCUGAAAGAUGGCUUCGCGUCUGAUUAGCUAGAUGGCGGGGUAACGGCCCACCAUGGCAACGAUCAGUAGCCGGACUGAGAGGUUGAACGGCCACAUUGGGACUGAGAUACGGCCCCAGACUCCUACGGGAGGCAGCAGUGAGGAAUAUUGGUCAAUGGGCCGAGAGCCUGAACCAGCCAAGUCGCGUGAGGGAAGACGGUACUAAGUAUUGUAAACCUCUUUUGUCAGGGAACAAAGAGACCACGUGUGGUAAGAUGAGUGUACCUGAAGAAAAAGCAUCGGCUAACUCCGUG
Molecule: ribosomal RNA, 401 nt
Filed under: uncultured bacterium
Lineage: Bacteria
Description: bacterial SSU rRNA
Rfam family: Bacterial small subunit ribosomal RNA
Source: RNAcentral